AUACGGAGGAUCCGAGCGUUAUCCGGAUUUAUUGGGUUUAAAGGGUGCGCAGGCGGCCAUUUAAGUCAGCGGUUAAAUCGUGGGGCUCAACCCCAUUCUGCCGUUGAUACUGGGUGGCUUGAUUGCGGUCGAGGUUGGCGGAAUUCGUUGUGUAGCGGUGAAAUGCAUAGAUAUGAGGAAGAACACCGAUUGCGUAGGCAGCUGACCAGACCGCAAAUGACGCUCAUGCACGAAAGUGCGGGGAUCGAACAGGAUUAGAUACCCUGGUAGUCCGCACAGUAAACGAUGAAUACUUGUUUUCGGCGAUAUAAUGUCGGAGGCAAAGCGAAAGCGAUAAGUAUUCCACCUGGGGAGUACGCCGGCAACGGUGAAACUCAAAGGAAUUGACGGGG
Molecule: ribosomal RNA, 392 nt
Filed under: uncultured bacterium
Lineage: Bacteria
Description: partial 16S ribosomal RNA
Rfam family: Bacterial small subunit ribosomal RNA
Source: RNAcentral